AGUGAACGCUGGCGGCAGGCCUAAUACAUGCAAGUCGAACGGCAGCACAGUGGAGCUUGCUCCAUGGGUGGCGAGUGGCGGACGGGUGAGGAAUACAUGGGAAUCUGCCCAGUCGUGGGGGAUAACGUAGGGAAACUUACGCUAAUACCGCAUGCGCCCUUCGGGGGAAAGCCGGGGACCUUCGGGCCUGGCGCGAUUGGAUGAGCCCAUGUUCGAUUAGCUAGUUGGCGGGGUAAAGGCCCACCAAGGCGACGAUCGAUAGCUGGUCUGAGAGGAUGAUCAGCCACACUGGGACUGAGACACGGCCCAGACUCCUACGGGAGGCAGCAGUAGGGAAUAUUGGACAAAGGGCGCAAGCCUGAUCCAGCCAUGCCGCGUGAGUGAAGAAGGCCCUCGGGUUGUAAAGCCCUUUUGUCCGGGAAGAAAAGCAUCGGGCUAAUACCUCGGUGUUCUGACGGUACCGGAAGAAUAAGCACCGGCUAACUUCGUG
Molecule: ribosomal RNA, 490 nt
Filed under: uncultured bacterium
Lineage: Bacteria
Description: partial 16S ribosomal RNA
Rfam family: Bacterial small subunit ribosomal RNA
Source: RNAcentral